CUCUCACACCGAGACGAGACUUACCGGUCAUAGUAUAGCACGUCAAAAUAAGACUAAACGGUCAUAGUAUAGCACGUCAAAAUAAGACUAACCGGUCAUAGUAUAGCACGUCAAAAUAAGACUAACCGGUCAUAGUAUAGCACGUCAAAAUAAGACUAACCGGUCAUAGUAUAGCACGUCAAGAUAAGACUAAAGGUCAUAGUAUAGCACGUCAAAAUAAGACUAAACGGUCAUAGUAUAGCACGUCAAGAUAAGACUAAAGGUCAUAGUAUAGCACGUCAAAAUAAGACUAAACGGUCAUAGUAUAGCACGUCGAAAUAAGACUAAACGGUCAUAGUAUAGCAUCUCAAAAUAAGAUUGAAAGGUCAUAGUAUAGCAUGUCAAAAC
Gasterosteus aculeatus aculeatus (three-spined stickleback) is the source of this 387-nucleotide long non-coding RNA. Lineage: Eukaryota; Metazoa; Chordata; Actinopteri; Perciformes; Gasterosteidae. The record is from Ensembl.